Molecule: unclassified non-coding RNA, 98 nt
Organism: Homo sapiens (human)
Lineage: Eukaryota; Metazoa; Chordata; Mammalia; Primates; Hominidae
Rfam family: Y RNA
About the family: Y RNAs are components of the Ro ribonucleoprotein particle (Ro RNP), in association with Ro60 and La proteins. The Y RNAs and Ro60 and La proteins are well conserved, but the function of the Ro RNP is not known.
Source: Ensembl
GGCUGGUCCCAGUGCAGUGGUGUUUACAGCUAGUUGAUCACAAUCAGAGAUUUUUAUGUUCCUUCUCCAAUCCCACUGCUUCACUUGACUAGCCUUUA